RNAcentral lists this transfer RNA (74 nucleotides) under Galerina marginata CBS 339.88. RNAcentral's name for it is "tRNA-Met (CAT) (tRNA-Met-CAT-3-1)". It matches the Rfam family "tRNA". Rfam says of the family: Transfer RNA (tRNA) molecules are approximately 80 nucleotides in length. The record is from Rfam by way of RNAcentral. Lineage: Eukaryota; Fungi; Basidiomycota; Agaricomycetes; Agaricales; Galerinaceae.
AGCCAACUGGCUCAGCUGGUUAGAGCAUCGUGCUCAUAACACGGGGAUCUUGGGUUCGACCCCCAAGUUGGCUA